GACGAACGCUGGCGGCGUGCCUAAUACAUGCAAGUCGAACGCAGUGGGGACGGGUGAGUAACACGUGGGUAACCUCCCAUCAGAGGGGAUAACACUUGGAAAAAGGUGCUAAACCGAUACUGACGGAUGGACCCGCGGUGCAUUAGCUAGUUGGGGGGGUAACGGCUCACCAAGGCCACGAUGCAUAGCCGGCGGGAGAGGGUGAUCGGCCACACUGGGACUUAUGCACGGCCCAGACUCCUACGGGAGGCAGCAGUAGGGAAUCUUCGGGAAUGGACGAAAGUCUGACCGAGCAACGCCGCGGGAGGGAAGAGGGUUUUCGGAUGGUAAAACUCUGUUGUUAGAGAAGCGGUAUCGAACCAGAAAGCCACGGCUAACUACGGGCCAGGAGGCGCGGUAAAUAC
RNAcentral lists this ribosomal RNA (404 nucleotides) under uncultured bacterium. RNAcentral describes it as "partial 16S ribosomal RNA". It matches the Rfam family "Bacterial small subunit ribosomal RNA", at positions 28 to 526 of the family's 1533-position model. The record is from RNAcentral.